Molecule: long non-coding RNA, 1068 nt
Filed under: Canis lupus familiaris (dog)
Lineage: Eukaryota; Metazoa; Chordata; Mammalia; Carnivora; Canidae
Description: lncRNA (ENSCAFG00040019434.1)
Source: RNAcentral
GUGCAGGGACCCGGGGAGGCGCGCGAGGACCGACCGGUCACCGCUGAAAUUACCUCAUCGCUUCAGCUCCCCGCCCCUUUCCCAAACCUGGAAGAAGCGUCCCUCCGGCCGGAGGCGCCCCCCCCGCCCCCCGCUCGCCAGCCGGUCGCCGGCCGCGCGCCGCCUCCCGGGGCCGCCUCCCCGGGCCGCGCGCAGCCAAGGGUUAAGGGCGCCGGCCGGGCCGUCCGCCGCGCCGUGCGCUCGCGCUGCUCCGAGCCGCCCGCCGCCCGCCGCCCGCCGCGGGGCCCCCCCGCCACCCCCCACCCCCCACCCCCACCCCCAAGUCGGAUCCUUGAGCUGCGGCGGCGGCAGCCAACUGCUCCAUAUUUGGCUUCUAUUACACAUUUACAUACUGGAGCGAGCGAGCGAGCGAGCGAGCGCGAGAGAGCGCGAGGGAGGGAGGGCGGGCGGGCGGAGGGAGGAGGGAGGGGAGGGGAGCGGGGGGGUCGGAGGAGGAGGAGGGCGAGGAGGAGGAGGAGGAGGAGGACGAGAAGGAGGAGGAGGACGGGGAGGAGGAGGAGGAGGAGAGAGCAGAGUGUACCGCAGACAUCAUUUCUACUACAGUGGCGGAGCCGUACAGGACCUGUUUCACUGCAGGGGGAUCACAAAACAAGCCCCGCGGAGCAGCCGCCAGAGCUACAGCAGCCGCAAGACACUGUUUCUCUCCCUCUGCCCCCCCUUCCCCACGCAACCCCAGAUCCAUUUACACUUUACAGAGCAUCGUGCAGCAGCCAGUCCCCAGGGUGGUCCGUUCAAGCUGCGGAUUUGUUUGCCAUCACUCUAAGACAAUCUCCUCCUCCACGGCCACUCCAGGGAAGUGCAUCACAAAUCAGCAUACUGGAGCAAAAUGAAAGAAUUUGUUCUGAGGCCUCAAAAGUAGUGCUGCUACGGACCAUGAGCAAGAAAGGGUGGACUUCAGCCUGCACGGAUGGUCUUGAAACACAAAUAGUUGUGGAUUUCUAUUCUAGGAAUUGCCACUGCUGGUCUAAGCUGCACUUCACUGGCACCCUGGAGCUCCGAGAGCCUUAA